AGUGGGGCUGAAAUUUUUAUCUUUUCCCUACAGUUAUUAGGUAGAUUGUAAAGCCCUGUUUGACCAGAUGUUUGCUAACUGUUGGUUGUACUGUAUGCAAUAUUAUAAUAGAGCUGGGAAAUCAUAACAGAAGGUUAUCUAGGGGCCCUAGACAGAAAAGUAAUCUUCCUGGAACAAGGCAGCUGAAACAGAAGCCAUGGUCUGUUCAUUGAUCUGUCACAGCAACUACUACAUGAUACAGACUGUGUUGCCAAUUGUUCUCUCUUCCUCACAGAGGUUUGUGAGCACCAAAAAGGGCAUAUAUUCAAACCAGCAAAACAGGGAGCGAAGUUCUGAUGGACAGAACUGCGUGGACUCCCUACUGACUUAAAAUCGUAGGAUCAUAAGGUUGGAAAAGACUUUAAACACCCCCAGUGACAGUGACUCCACCACCUCCCUGGGCGACCUGUUGCAGUGCUUGAUGGCUCUGAGAAGAAAUUUCUCCUAAUUUCCAACCUGAACCUGCCCUGGCACAACUUGAUGCCACUCCCUCUAGUCCCAUCACUAGUUACCUGUGAGAAGAGACUGACCCCAGCUCCCCACACCUUCUUUUUAAAUAAAAUAAACAUCAUGGUAAUCUGUUAUCUCAAAUGAAGCAGUACCAUUUUAUUCUUUGCACAUUCAACAAAAGGACAGUGAAACCCAGAGAUGCUCACUGGCUCCUCCAGCCGUUCACCAGGAGGUGACACCAGAGAGCUCCUUUUUGGAAGAAUUUCAGACAAGAUAGGGAGUACUUUUUCCAAUGCCUGAGGGUCUACUGCUUCCCAACAGAAACAGCCACAGUCACUUUCAGUAAAAUGAAGAUUUACUUGCUGGUGAAUGCAAAGAAUGAAUAAAUACUUUCAUUUAUAACCUGGUAACUAUAGCUUUUAAUGUUUCCUCCACCAUCUCAAUACCAUAAUGUUUUAAACUAUUAUGCUUUCAGAGAUCUAAAAUAUGUCUUUAUUGCCUUCAAAAUUAAUAGAGCACUUCCAUCUGAAACAUAUAUACCAAAUCAUUUGGACAUUUUUGAGAGGCAAUAUUAGCCAUUUUUGGAUUAGCAGAAGGCUGUCAAAGACUAGUACUACAAAUAGCAAAUUUACUUCUGAGAUGUCAGCUGUGUGGUUGUUUAUCAGUACUGUUGUGCAACUCAUUGUGUAAGAAAUCUUCCCCCAGGAAUUCACAUGCAUAUCAACAAAACUAUGUGGCCUUGAAACAGACAUAGUAUUUGGAAAAAAAAAAAAAAAAAAUCAGAAGCAAAACAUAACAGAAAGUUAUUACAACUUAAUUUGUUUUGUAUCUGAAAGCAUAUAGAUAAUAUUUUGUAUGCAACUGGCAUGUAUUUGCAAUUUUCCAAAGCAUGCUAAAAAACAAAACAAAACAAAACACAGACACAGCCCACAUAUAGUCCAGCCCAGAUUAGGAACAGGCACUGGGAUUACUGCUGAUAACCUGGACUGGGAAGCCACGCAUGGACCGAGGACCCGUGGACUGUUAGCUCAAACCUCACUCUUGGAAGCCCUGAUCCAUCCAUUCCAAGAAGGAGAUUGGGAUAUGAUGCAAACAUGGAGAGAACUGAAACUGCAACCUGAGUGGGACGGACUGUUCCAAGUGCUCCUGACUACCAAGACGACAGUAAGAAAGGCUGAGAAAUGAUGGAUUCGUACCUGGGUAAAAGCAUCAGUUAACCCUGAUACCAGAGAGACUGCAUUAACAAAGACUUUUAAGGUUAAAACUGUUAAAGCUAUCUGUUGUAAACCUUUAACUUCUCCUUAGAAGAAUUCUUAAUGAAUUAAUAAGUAAAAGGGGUUGGAGUGUUUGCAGGAAACACUCUCUGGAAGUGGGAGAAAGGGGUCUAUUUAAUCCCACCAGAAGAAUCCUCAUUAGUUUGUGAUUUUUAUUGUUUUUCUUAAUUAUUAUAGGGGUGUAUAUAUAGAAAGAAAUUAUGUAUUUUAAGUUUAUUUUAGUAAUACCUAUUCUCAAUGGAUUAGUAAUACAAUGGAGGGAAGAAUCAGCAUUUCUAAUGAAUGCAGAGUUCUAUCUCGAAAUAAUUGUUGGAUUUGCACCCUAGAAAGACUGAAGAGGCCUUGUCCCUGAUUGCUAUUUCCAGCAGCAACUGUGUCUGGAUUCUCUAGAUUUCUAAAAAUGACAGAUCAAACAUAGUCCCAGGAAGGAAUAUAUUUUGAAGUUGAGUUCCCUACACAUAAUCCUGGCUACAAUACUGUGUUAUCAAAAGUGCCUUUUAAACAAUGAUAGAAACUCAGGGGGCAAUAGUACUGACCCUGGGUGUGGAAAUAUCCAUGAAGUAGGGAAUAAUCCAUACUGUACUGAAUAUGGUAGCCAUGGGAAUGCUAAUAUACAUACUGCACAUCAGAUACAACACGAGAAUCCUGUAACCGGAUGGCCUGUCCUGAAUUGCAAGGAGUGAUACUGGCUAUGUGGCAAUAAAGCCAGGAAGGUGUUGCCCGUAGGAUGGAAGGGAGCUUGCGCCCUGGAGGCAAUAAUUCCAGAUGUAACUAUUAUUGAAGACCCACAAAGCCAAAGACCCCUUGAGACCACACGCAGAAUUAAGUGGACUCCAGAUAAACCUUUAGUAAAAUUCUCUAGCAUUUUACAAUUUUGCACGGUGUUUUUUACUUUGGUUAAGGGUGAGUGAAUUAGAAAAAGCAAUUGUACAUAUAUUGAAGAACUAGAAAAUAAGUUUGCUAAGUUUGCAAAAAUAGUACUCUAGAAUCAAAUAGUAUUAGAUUUAUUAAUAACCUCAUAAGGAGGAGCAUGCACUGUAAUUAAUACUGGUUGCUGUAUAUAUGUAGAUCAAAUGGGAUGAAUUUGACUGAUCUCAAAAAUAUUUUGGGAAAAAAAAACAAACAAACAAGAUCCUACAUAGAGUAGCUCACAAUGAUACUUCCUGGGGAUCUAGAAACAUUUGGGAGAAACUAAUUUUGUGAUUACCUGAAUAGAAUUGGCUCAAAUAACUAUUUGUUGGUAUUGUAAUAAUAAUGGCAUUGUAUAUCUAUCAUCCCGUGACAUCUGAAGAAGAAUAUUGCACCUUAAUGUUGGAAAAACUCAAGAGAGCGGUGUGUGAAGAGGUGCAAAAA
This is a long non-coding RNA of Anas platyrhynchos (mallard), 3116 nucleotides long. RefSeq lists it as uncharacterized. NCBI's taxonomy places the organism in Eukaryota, Metazoa, Chordata, Aves, Anseriformes, Anatidae. The record is from RefSeq and is a predicted model, not a curated record.